GGGCGUGUGGUCUAGUGGUAUGAUUCUCGCUUUGGGUGUUGUCGUGGAAACACGCAAAUACAAAUAUGCGAGAGGCCCUGGGUUCAAUUCCCAGCUCGCCCC
The sequence is a transfer RNA, 102 nucleotides long. It matches the Rfam family "tRNA". Rfam says of the family: Transfer RNA (tRNA) molecules are approximately 80 nucleotides in length. Their secondary structure includes four short double-helical elements and three loops (D, anti-codon, and T loops). Further hydrogen bonds mediate the characteristic L-shaped molecular structure. tRNAs have two regions of fundamental functional importance: the anti-codon, which is responsible for specific mRNA codon recognition, and the 3' end, to which the tRNAs corresponding amino acid is attached (by aminoacyl-tRNA synthetases). tRNAs cope with the degeneracy of the genetic code in two manners: having more than one tRNA (with a specific anti-codon) for a particular amino acid; and 'wobble' base-pairing, i.e. permitting non-standard base-pairing at the 3rd anti-codon position. The record is from Rfam.